GUUAGUCGGGUCCUAAGCUGAGGCCGACAGGCGUAGGCGAUGGAUAACAGGUUGAUAUUCCUGUACCACCUAUAAUCGUUUUAAUCGAUGGGGGGACGCAGUAGGAUAGGCGAAGCGUGCGAUUGGAUUGCACGUCUAAGCAGUAAGGCUGAGUAUUAGGCAAAUCCGGUACUCGUUAAGGCUGAGCUGUGAUGGGGAGAAGACAUUGAGUCUUCGAGUCGUUGAUUUCACACUGCCGAGAAAAGCCUCUAGAUAGAAAAUAGGUGCCCGUACCGCAAACCGACACAGGUAGUCAAGAUGAGAAUUCUAAGGUGAGCGAGCGAACUCUCGUUAAGGAACUCGGCAAAAUGACCCCGUAACUUCGGGAGAAGGGGUGCUCUUUAGGGUUAACGCCCAGAAGAGCCGCAGUGAAUAGGCCCAAGCGACUGUUUAUCAAAAACACAGGUCUCUGCUAAACCGUAAGGUGAUGUAUAGGGGCUGACGCCUGCCCGGUGCUGGAAGGUUAAGAGGAGUGGUUAGCUUCUGCGAAGCUACGAAUCGAAGCCCCAGUAAACGGCGGCCGUAACUAUAACGGUCCUAAGGUAGCGAAAUUCCUUGUCGGGUAAGUUCCGACCCGCACGAAAGGCGUAACGAUUUGGGCACUGUCUCAACGAGAGACUCGGUGAAAUCAUAGUACCUGUGAAGAUGCAGGUUACCCGCGACAGGACGGAAAGACCCCGUGGAGCUUUACUGUAGCCUGAUAUUGAAAUUCGGCACAGCUUGUACAGGAUAGGUAGGAGCCUUUGAAACGUGAGCGCUAGCUUACGUGGAGGCGCUGGUGGGAUACUACCCUAGCUGUGUUGGCUUUCUAACCCGCACCACUUAUCGUGGUGGGAGACAGUGUCAGGCGGGCAGUUUGACUGGGGCGGUCGCCUCCUAAAAGGUAACGGAGGCGCUCAAAGGUUCCCUCAGAAUGGUUGGAAAUCAUUCAUAGAGUGUAAAGGCAUAAGGGAGCUUGACUGCGAGACCUACAAGUCGAGCAGGGUCGAAAGACGGACUUAGUGAUCCGGUGGUUCCGCAUGGAAGGGCCAUCGCUCAACGGAUAAAAGCUACCCCGGGGAUAACAGGCUUAUCUCCCCCAAGAGUUCACAUCGACGGGGAGGUUUGGCACCUCGAUGUCGGCUCAUCGCAUCCUGGGGCUGUAGUCGGUCCCAAGGGUUGGGCUGUUCGCCCAUUAAAGCGGUACGCGAGCUGGGUUCAGAACGUCGUGAGACAGUUCGGUCCCUAUCCGUCGUGGGCGUAGGAAAUUUGAGAGGAGCUGUCCUUAGUACGAGAGGACCGGGAUGGACAUACCUCUGGUGUACCAGUUGUCGUGCCAACGGCAUAGCUGGGUAGCUAUGUGUGGACGGGAUAAGUGCUGAAAGCAUCUAAGCAUGAAGCCCCCCUCAAGAUGAGAUUUCCCAACUUCGGUUAUAAGAUCCCUCAAAGAUGAUGAGGUUAAUAGGUUCGAGGUGGAAGCAUGGUGACAUGUGGAGCUGACGAAUACUAAUCGAUCGAAGACUUAAUCAA
Molecule: ribosomal RNA, 1548 nt
Filed under: Staphylococcus aureus F92765
Lineage: Bacteria; Bacillati; Bacillota; Bacilli; Caryophanales; Staphylococcaceae
Description: bacterial LSU rRNA
Rfam family: Bacterial large subunit ribosomal RNA
Source: RNAcentral